RNAcentral lists this ribosomal RNA (305 nucleotides) under uncultured bacterium. RNAcentral describes it as "bacterial SSU rRNA". It matches the Rfam family "Bacterial small subunit ribosomal RNA", at positions 333 to 638 of the family's 1533-position model. The record is from RNAcentral.
CGAGCCUACGGGGCGCAGCAGUAGGGAAUCUUCCACAAUGGGCGAAAGCCUGAUGGAGCAACGCCGCGUGGGUGAAGAAGGUCUUCGGAUCGUAAACCUCUUUUGUCAGGGAACAAAGGCGGGGACGUGUCCCCGGAUGAGUGUACCUGAAGAAAAAGCAUCGGCUAACUCCGUGCCAGCAGCCGCGGUAAUACGGAGGAUGCGAGCGUUAUCCGGAUUUAUUGGGUUUAAAGGGUGCGCAGGCGGGCUGUUAAGUCAGCGGUCAAAGCCCGGGGCUCAACCCCGGCCCGCCGUUGAAACUGGCA